CGCACAUUGCGCCCUUUGGUAUUCCGAGGGGCAUGCCUGUUCGAGCGUCAUUUCAACCAUCAAGCCUAGCUUGGUAUUGGACCCGGUCCUAGGGCCCGUCCACAACUAGUCGGCGGUGCUGUACAGCCUCAAGCGUAACAGAAAUCUCGCUUCCGGGUUAUUGUACGGCGUCUGCCAAAAAAAAACCAUAACUGAAGUUUGACCUCGGAUCAGGUAGGGAUACCCGCUGAACUUAA
Molecule: unclassified non-coding RNA, 236 nt
Filed under: Hysteriales sp.
Lineage: Eukaryota; Fungi; Ascomycota; Dothideomycetes; Hysteriales
Description: partial contains 5.8S ribosomal RNA, internal transcribed spacer 2, and large subunit ribosomal RNA
Source: RNAcentral